AUUUCUCUGAGAUGUUUGCAAGCGGGCCAGUCCCCUGAGCCGAUAUUUCAUACCACAAGAAUGUGGCGAACUGUGACGACACAUUCACCUUGAACCAAGGGUUCAAGGGUUACAGCCUGCGGCGGCAUCUCGGAGAUUCC
Molecule: non-coding RNA, 140 nt
Filed under: Klebsiella michiganensis
Lineage: Bacteria; Pseudomonadati; Pseudomonadota; Gammaproteobacteria; Enterobacterales; Enterobacteriaceae
Description: 6S RNA
Rfam family: 6S / SsrS RNA
About the family: E. coli 6S RNA was the first non coding RNA to be sequenced, but its function was unknown until recently. It consists of 184 nucleotides that fold into an extended hairpin structure with a large single-stranded internal bulge. The 6S RNA specifically associates with RNA polymerase holoenzyme containing the sigma70 specificity factor.
Source: RNAcentral